AGGACGAACGCUGGCGGCGUGCUUAACACAUGCAAGUCGAGCGGAGACAUGUAACGGAAAGCUUCGGCUGGAAGAUAUAGUGUUUAGCGGCGGACGGGUGAGUAACGCGUGAGCAACCUGUCCUUCACAGGGGGAUAAGAUACCGAAAGGUGUUCUAAUACCGCAUAAGACCACAAUGUCACAUGGCGAAGGGGUCAAAGGAGCAAUCCGGUGAAGGGUGGGCUCGCGUCCGAUUAGAUAGUUGGUGAGGUAACGGCCCACCAAGUCGACGAUCGGUAGCCGACCUGAGAGGGUGAUCGGCCACAUUGGGACUGAGACACGGCCCAGACUCCUACGGGAGGCAGCAGUGGGGAAUAUUGGGCAAUGGGGGAAACCCUGACCCAGCAACGCCGCGUGGAGGAAGAAGGUCUUCGGAUCGUAAACUCCUGUCCUAAGAGACGAGCAGGAGACGGUAUCUUAGGAGGAAGCCCCGGCUAACUACGUGCCAGCCGCUGC
Molecule: ribosomal RNA, 495 nt
Filed under: uncultured bacterium
Lineage: Bacteria
Description: bacterial SSU rRNA
Rfam family: Bacterial small subunit ribosomal RNA
Source: RNAcentral